This 481-nucleotide small RNA is filed under the name Pan troglodytes (chimpanzee). Its description in RNAcentral is "retained intron". The record is from RNAcentral. Lineage: Eukaryota; Metazoa; Chordata; Mammalia; Primates; Hominidae.
AGAAGUUCAAGGUCAGCUCUCAUGUCUUUGUUUAAUUUUAAAGUGAGGCUCAUUGUAGCCAGAUUUCCCCUGAACUGCCUGGAUGCAUAGAGGAGGGGCCUCACCCCCGCAGCCUGCCCAGCCUCACCCCCUCUGGAGAUCCUCCCUGACUCAGCCUCACUCCAUGCUAUCCUUCCCACCUCCCGCCCCUUGUCAUUCCAGCUCUUGCUGGGCAGUGGUGUGGGAACAGUGCGUCUCUAUGACACGGAAGCCAAGAAGAAUCUCUGUGAAAUCAAUAUCAACGACGACAUGCCCAGAAUCCUGUCUCUUGCGUGCAGCCCCAACGGGGCCUCUUUCGUCUGUUCGGCAGCAGCUCCGAGCCUCACUUCCCAGGUGGACUUCUCAGCACCAGACAUCGGCAGCAAGGGCAUGAACCAGGUUCCUGGCAGGCUGCUGCUGUGGGACACGAAAACCAUGAAGCAGCAGGUACGGGCCUGCCCUG